This is a long non-coding RNA of Tympanuchus pallidicinctus (lesser prairie-chicken), 2063 nucleotides long. RefSeq lists it as uncharacterized. The record is from RefSeq and is a predicted model, not a curated record. The transcript has 6 exons. Lineage: Eukaryota; Metazoa; Chordata; Aves; Galliformes; Phasianidae.
UAGGGGAUUUUCUAUUUGUUACAGGUUUGAAGUACUUACUUAGUUAUCUGGGAAAAAAUAUCAGAGGAUGACAGAACGAAAAACUCCUCGGGAGUGAGAGAGAGAGUGUGAACAAGUAUUACUGGUCUGCAUUUGAAUUAAAAACUGUAGAUUCUUCAAACUCCUUUGUGUUCCUCAGUAUCUGGCUGUGGAGAAUGCACCACUGUCAAGUUUCUCUGUGAGGUCCCAGCUCACCAUUUAUCCCCUGAUCUGUUGGAUGUGGAGCAGUAAUGUCUCAAAAUGAUAGUCACAUCAUGUUGGAUAAAAGAAAGAAACCAGAGAAGUCAUAAUUCACUUCGGCACUAAGUCAGCAGCAAGCAGCAGCAUCGCUGUGGAAUCCACUCAAGUUAUUUCUACUUAUUUACUUACUGACUUCUGCUUUUGGGGAUCAAGACUUGCUAACUUUGAAGCCUGAGUUCAGUUGAAUGAAGAAGACCGCUUUUUAUGCUUUGUUCUGCGUUCAAGAUUUGAGCAAGAUCUUUGACUAAACAUACAUAAAUCACUGGCUUCAACCAACAACUUUUCUGACCACUGCUUCUGGCAGUCCACUAGUCUUUGUUUCAUGAUGGUAAUUAUCUGCCCAAAUUCUUCAAGAAUGACUUUGCAUCGAACACAGUGAUGCUCAUGCUGUGGGUGAAUUAAUUAAAGCACUAAGAAAUUCAUGCUCAGUGAUGAGAACUAUUGGCUUGAUGCACUCUAAUGCAGACUUACUCACAGAGACCUAAGGGUAUGAGAAGUAACUGCUGGGAGCAUCCACCACAAAUUGGAGUGUACUGUAAAUUCUGUGUCUCUGUUCUGAACUUAGGCUACUAGUCAUACAGCAAGUGGCUCUUUCUCCCACAUCUGUUCAUCCUGUCUCAUUAGUGUUGAAGCUAUUGCCAUUAUGCUUCAGUGGGGUAAAGUAUAGUGAGAACAAAAGUCUGGAGAAGGCAUUAUGUGUAGGAAAGAAGGGCAGGAAGGGGUCCAGAAACCUGGAAUGGAAGUAAUUCAAAUGAAGCUCCUAUAUAACAGCGGGACCUGGAGGAGCUUUACUGCCAAGCCAUAUGGGAUGGAAAUUAGGUAAUGAGAGGACACUACUGCACCAUUCCAUCAUCUAUGAUGAUUUCCUGGAAACUGCAAACUUUGAUAUAUGCAUGAAGAAAUACAAAGCUGUAGAUCAGGAGAGGGAGGACUGGAUUGGCAGCCUUUGUAAGAAUUCAGCCCAAUAAGCAAUAGUCGUUCAAAAUGCAAUUAGAUUUUAACAGCCUAAUUUAGUUACAGGUGAAAUUUCAGAGGUUUCACUGUGGAUAAACAUGAUGUGUGCAGUCACAGUUUAUCCAUUUUUUAGCCAGUUAUUUUAAGAAAUGAGGAUUGUGUUAGGUUACUGGGAGCGUACUUCAGAACAUGCAUAGGCUGAAGUAAUCAGUAGCAGAGGUCUAAUUAUGUCCUUAUGAAUGUCAAUGAGUUGUUGCAAAAUCACUUCAAAGAGCAGGAUAGCAUUCAGGUCCUCAACCACAUAUUUGGAAGUAGAACAGAUUGAAAACAAACUGAUCAAACAAGUCUCUAUUUAUACAGCAUUGUUUUCACGUGCAUUGCUUUUGUUGAUAACAGUUUUAGUGUUUGGUUAAAACUGUGCGACUUCCUCUAUGGGCAAUUUCAUUAAUUUAGUUCAAAAUUCCAUUGAUUUUUAGCUUUGUAUAAGAAAGAAAUAACUUCAAAUUUAUCUAUAUUGAGUUUAAAUAGGAUUAUGAUAAAUUGCCUGUAGGCACUGGUGAGCCCACAAAUUUUGGCAACUUAGUGAUAAUUCCCUCUUUCAAGCUCUGUAAUAAGUCAAUUGUUUCUCACCCCACUCAUCUUCCAGCAAGACUUCCCAGGGUAACUUAGAAUUAAUUUCAUUCUUUUUCUAUUCCUAAGUUCUUAAAACCGUAGACAAAUAUUGUCUAAAAGUCAAAAGUGCUGUAAAUGUAAUUUAGAACUAGUAAAAUGCAUCAGUUGCAUUUAGUUUUCUAUUAAAGCUCAGAGAUGCUUGUGUGGUUUUUUUGUUU